UUAUUUUGGUUACAUGAUUCUGUAGUUUUAAUGUAUUAUUUUUUCUUUGUGUUUUCGUCCUUAAGCCCAAAGCAACAACUUUCUACAGUUGACACAGUGCCCUCUCAAGCAGCAACUACAGCAAGCUGUGUCACAAGCAAAGCCAUCUGGCUAUUCAGCCUCCACCGGAAAAGUUCUCCUGCUACAGUAUUUGAUUUGAACGGCUAAUGUAAGGAUAUCAGCAGAGAGGAAGCUCAAGAGGACCAGGCUGAGCAAGUC
Molecule: long non-coding RNA, 258 nt
Organism: Etheostoma spectabile (orangethroat darter)
Lineage: Eukaryota; Metazoa; Chordata; Actinopteri; Perciformes; Percidae
Exons: 3
Source: RefSeq, a predicted model, not a curated record